AGAUUAAGUUAUUAAGGGCGCACGGUGGAUGCCUUGGCACUAGAAGCCGAUGAAGGACGUUACUAACGACGAUAUGCUUUGGGGAGCUGUAAGUAAGCUUUGAUCCAGAGAUUUCCGAAUGGGGAAACCCAGCAUGAGUUAUGUCAUGUUAUCGAUAUGUGAAUACAUAGCAUAUCAGAAGGCACACCCGGAGAACUGAAACAUCUUAGUACCCGGAGGAAGAGAAAGAAAAUUCGAUUCCCUUAGUAGCGGCGAGCGAAACGGGAAGAGCCCAAACCAACAAGCUUGCUUGUUGGGGUUGUAGGACACUCUAUACGGAGUUACAAAGGACGACAUUAGACGAAUCAUCUGGAAAGAUGAAUCAAAGAAGGUAAUAAUCCUGUAGUCGAAAAUGUUGUCUCUCUUGAGUGGAUCCUGAGUACGACGGAGCACGUGGAAUUCCGUCGGAAUCUGGGAGGACCAUCUCCUAAGGCUAAAUACUCUCUAGUGACCGAUAGUGAACCAGUACCGUGAGGGAAAGGUGAAAAGCACCCCGGAAGGGGAGUGAAAUAGAACCUGAAACCGUGUGCUUACAAGUAGUCAGAGCCCGUUAAUGGGUGAUGGCGUGCCUUUUGUAGAAUGAACCGGCGAGUUACGAUUUGAUGCAAGGUUAAGCAGUAAAUGUGGAGCCGUAGCGAAAGCGAGUCUGAAUAGGGCGUUUAGUAUUUGGUCGUAGACCCGAAACCAGGUGAUCUACCCUUGGUCAGGUUGAAGUUCAGGUAACACUGAAUGGAGGACCGAACCGACUUACGUUGAAAAGUGAGCGGAUGAACUGAGGGUAGCGGAGAAAUUCCAAUCGAACCUGGAGAUAGCUGGUUCUCUCCGAAAUAGCUUUAGGGCUAGCCUCAAGUG
Molecule: ribosomal RNA, 891 nt
Filed under: Staphylococcus aureus
Lineage: Bacteria; Bacillati; Bacillota; Bacilli; Caryophanales; Staphylococcaceae
Description: partial 23S ribosomal RNA
Rfam family: Bacterial large subunit ribosomal RNA
Source: RNAcentral